Non-coding RNA from Dipodomys ordii (Ord's kangaroo rat), 369 nucleotides. Lineage: Eukaryota; Metazoa; Chordata; Mammalia; Rodentia; Heteromyidae. The record is from the annotation of a RefSeq genome assembly.
AGCAUGAACAUGAGGACUCCUGGUCAGCUCCUUGGGCUACUACUGCUCUGGCUUCCAGGAGCCAGAUGUGCUAUCCAGAUGACCCAGAGUCCACCCUCCCUAUCUGCAUCUCCAGGAGACAGAGUCUCCCUCACAUGCAGAAGCAGUCAAAACAUUUACAACAGGUUAAGCUGGUAUCAACAGAAACCAGGAGAAUCUCCUAAAAUCCUGAUCUAUGGUACAAACAAUUUAGAAUCUGGGAUCCCCUCCAGAUUUAGUGGCAGUGGAUCUGGGACAGAUUACUCUCUCACCAUUAAUAGCCUGCAGCCUGAAGAUGUUGCCACUUAUUACUGUCAACAUAGUUAUGGUUAUCCACCCACAGUGAUAUAA